ACCAGAACAUGACAGCACAUACUGCAAGUAAACAAGCCGCGGAUCGUCGAAUGAACAAGACCGUGAUCACGAUAAUCCUCGUUUCGCUCGCGUGCUACCUGCCUCAGUUUUGCGUGCUCGUUUUCCUAAGCGUGCACGAACGUACCGUAUGGCAUACGCGUUUCGUCAUUCCUUGGGUGUACCUCGUGCUGUUUGCGACAGCAGCUUUGAACCCGUUCGUGUACUGUUGGAAGAAUCGGCGUCUGAGGAACGAGAUGGCCAAGUUUACCUCGCGUGUAUUCAGGAGAAAACCGCGCACCUAUGAGAACAACAGUACGGUAUCGAGUACACCCAUGUCGACAAACACAUCAAAAGUUUGAGGCUUUCAGUCGGCGAACAAGAAGAACAGAUCUGGAAACUUGGAUCCUGUCCUUGUUUUUUUUUUCAAAAGUUCCUCAAAUAAGCGCAUGCAAAAACAAUGUAAAUUUGACAGUACGUUACACAAUUAUGUGCGCAACGCUAAAGU
Molecule: non-coding RNA, 505 nt
Organism: Paramuricea clavata
Lineage: Eukaryota; Metazoa; Cnidaria; Anthozoa; Malacalcyonacea; Plexauridae
Source: the annotation of a GenBank genome assembly